Molecule: long non-coding RNA, 2725 nt
Organism: Odontomachus brunneus
Lineage: Eukaryota; Metazoa; Arthropoda; Insecta; Hymenoptera; Formicidae
Exons: 2
Source: RefSeq, a predicted model, not a curated record
UGUGUGCACACAUUUUCCUCAUAAGGAGCGCAGAGGGACGUGUGUGCGCGCGCGCGCGCUCGGAUCUCUAAAUAGAAUCGUCGAACAAUUCGUCGCAGGGAGUGAAAUCGAGUGAAACUGGAUCGCGCGUCACGUUCGCAUGUCAUCCGUGAGACCAGUACGAAUGGCACAGACAUUCGCAGAAACGACAACAGCAAUAACAUCGCCGUGCGAGCAUCAAACGUUGUAUUACGCUAUCUGUACACUCCACCGUGUUUCUCAGCCAUUAUUAUCCGACACAAAAACCCGUGACAUCUCGGACAGGUGCAGACUAAAAAGAAAACGCUCCCCUCUCUUCCUACUCAGCCGGCUUCUCGUGACGCAAUUGUCGAGAGGACAAACUAUCAUAACAUCGAGCAAAACGUAACGAGCAACAAGUAUCGCGCUUUUUUGCGAGGCACGCCAGGAACUUUGGACACGCAGGUUUCUUACGGAGUGCACGUGGCAUGACAGCAGGUCCACGAGGAGGAAGGAGGUGGUCGUGCUGGCGGUGGUGGUGGUGGUGUAAAAGGCGACGGGGAAGGAGGAGAGAACGGACCUCGCCACCCGCACUCCCGUCUGACAAUAAUACGCGCGUGUAAGAGAGGGAGAGGGACAACGCGAGAGGAAACUGGAUAAGAAAGAGAAAGAGAAGGAAAGAGAGAGAGAGAGAGACACAGCGUGAGUGCAUCGUCGUACAUGUGCGAGAGAGAGGGAGUGAUCGUGAUGGUCCUGUUGGUGGACGACCCAGCGCGUUAGUAGUGUGGAGAGAUGACCUCACAGAGAUGGGACUAUCACUCUCUGGGACCCCGGGCCGAAUUAUGGCGCUCACUGGACACUGAUGGUAGUGGGGAGAAGGACCUUUUCGACCUGGUCUGUCUACUAUCCUGCCGCCAACUCUCGAUCGUCUACCUUUUCCUUCGAAUUCACGCUAACGAAUUUCCCGAGAAAUUUAUUUUUGUGCAGAUUAUAAGGUAGCGAGAGAAUAUAAAAAAGAAAAAGAAAAGAGUACACUAAAUUCAGAAAAUCAUUCUGUUUUCCUUUGUAUAAGGUAAACCACACAAUAAUUGGUAUUCCCCCUAUGCAUAUUUCUACCAAAAUGUCGAUUAAGUAUUAAUCUGAGUUUAAAUCUUUAUCCAAAUAGAGCUUAAAUGCAAAUUAAAAUUUAAUUAAUGUUGGUAGAAACGGGCAAUAGUCAUUGGCGCUCAAGAAAAACCAGGUUUUCCUGGCGACCAGCGACAUUUUUUCACAGUUUUAGUUGCGAGGAUCUUUUUUGGAAUCACAUGAAGUGUAGGUAAAAAGCUUAACUGCAAUGCUGGUUGAAGGGUCGUGAAAAAUCAGAUUUUUCUAACCAUAUAAUAAUAAUCUAAUGAUUAAGGGGGAUGCGAAUAAUUGUGGUUAAUCUAGUUGUAGUGGUUUAAUCUAAUUAGUUUGGAGUUUGUUUAUUGAGACGUUUCGAAUCCAACUCGCGCAUUCACGAAUUCACGGAAUAUUUGUCAAGUAUUCGACGUUGUUAUUAUUAUUACGGUGUGACAAUGAUUGUUAUGGCGGCGUAGAUUAGUUUACAAUGAUGUCAAGUUUGCAGACACGGAAAUGUUGAUGAAUCAAUUCGCCUCGAUGGAAGUGUUUUAUCGAAGAACGUUCUCCCAGAGACACGGUGGAGUUCCGCCGCACAAAUUCGCAAAUAAAAAUAGAUCUCUUUGAGCAGCCUACGUGAAACUGACUGCACGACUGUCACGGUUUAAAGCUCCGGAAAGGGCUCCUCUCACCGGGACUUCCAUCGACCAGUCCAUCGACGUUCGACGGACAUGACCUGCCUUCCUGAGGUAUGUCCGCAUCGCGAACGUGACGUAUCGAAACGAAACAUUCGAUUGUGUCCGAUUGGGUUAGCCCUGCCCGUGCCUUUGUAUUUUUGAAAAAAGAGGGGAAAAAAGAUUCGCUGGCCAUCCGGCUGUGAUGCGACUCCUAGUGGUCGGCUUCAAGUAAAAGCCACUGUUUUCCAGCGGGCUCACGUCGCGAUUACAAGGUAUCUCGGUCCGCACGCAUAAUUGGCAUGCCAGCGACAGUAACCGUGAUUUCACAUUCCUCCGCGCUUUCACGCACGAAUCGUCCCCUCCUUCUUUACCGUUCCGCCUCUCUCUUUCUAUCCUCUGUCUGCCUCUCUCUCUCUCUCUCUCUCUUUCGUUAGCUAAAUAUUUCAGUUUGAAAUUCGCGGAACGUAAUAUGCGGAAGAGAUUCGAAGAUGCACCAGCUCAUAUUCUACCUAAGUCCGUUCUCCGUCGAUCGGCGAGAUUCAGCGGACGAGUUUAACGUUGUGUUACGUUAUAUUCGCCGUUACUCUAAACUUUGGAGUCUCAGGAACCUUUGCAGCACAAACCUAGCUAGCAGAAUCGAGUGACACUAACAGCGCAACGAAUAUCAUCGAAGUGUUGAUUAAUACACUCGCAGAUGGCGGCGGCCCAGCGGUCCCAGCUGACCGAUUAUUGUCAUGUUAAUGAGGACGGGAAAAACGAAACAUCACCGGAUGAAGCACACCACGCACAUCUAAUUAUUGCGUAUCCACCAUCGCGUCGACGCUUCUCUCGUCUCACACGCUUCUUCGAUUGGACGUUGUUCACAAUUCUGACACCACGAUCGACGUUGGCUCUAUGUAAAUUUCUCCGACACAAUAGAAGGAGGAUGAGAGAGGGAGAGAGAGGGAGAGAAA